This 301-nucleotide ribosomal RNA is filed under the name uncultured bacterium. Its description in RNAcentral is "partial 16S ribosomal RNA". It matches the Rfam family "Bacterial small subunit ribosomal RNA", at positions 509 to 807 of the family's 1533-position model. The record is from RNAcentral.
CAGUCGCCGCGGGAAUACGGAGGGUGCAAGCGUUAAUCGGAAUUACUGGGCGUAAAGCGCACGCAGGCGGUUUGUUAAGUCAGAUGUGAAAUCCCCGAGCUUAACUUGGGAACUGCAUUUGAAACUGGCAAGCUAGAGUCUUGUAGAGGGGGGUAGAAUUCCAGGUGUAGCGGUGAAAUGCGUAGAGAUCUGGAGGAAUACCGGUGGCGAAGGCGGCCCCCUGGACAAAGACUGACGCUCAGGUGCGAAAGCGUGGGGAGCAAACAGGAUUAGAGACCCGGGUAGUCCCUGUCUCUUAUAC